Molecule: ribosomal RNA, 243 nt
Filed under: uncultured bacterium
Lineage: Bacteria
Description: partial 16S ribosomal RNA
Rfam family: Bacterial small subunit ribosomal RNA
Source: RNAcentral
GAUCUGGCUCAGAUUGAACGCUGGCGGCAGGCCUAACACAUGCAAGUCGAACGGUAACAGGAAGCAGCUUGCUGCUUCGCUGACGAGUGGCGGACGGGUGAGUAAUGUCUGGGAAACUGCCUGAUGGAGGGGGAUAACUACUGGAAACGGUAGCUAAUACCGCAUAACGUCGCAAGACCAAAGAGGGGGACCUUCGGGCCGUCUUGCCAUCGGAUGUGCCCAGAGUGGGAUUAGCUAGUAGGG